UGGGGAAUUUUGGACAAUGGGGGAAACACUGAUCCAGCCAUCCCGCGUGUGCGAUGAAGGCCUUCGGGUUGUAAAGCACUUUUGGCAGGAAAGAAACGUCAUGGGUUAAUACCCCGUGAAACUGACGGUACCUGCAGAAUAAGCACCGGCUAACUACGUGCCAGCAGCCGCGGUAAUACGUAGGGUGCAAGCGUUAAUCGGAAUUACUGGGCGUAAAGCGUGCGCAGGCGGUUCGGAAAGAAAGAUGUGAAAUCCCAGAGCUCAACUUUGGAACUGCAUUUUUAACUACCGGGCUAGAGUGUGUCAGAGGGAGGUGGAAUUCCGCGUGUAGCAGUGAAAUGCGUAGAUAUGCGGAGGAACACCGAUGGCGAAGGCAGCCUCCUGGGAUAACACUGACGCUCAUGCACGAAAGCGUGGGGAGCAAAC
This 426-nucleotide ribosomal RNA is filed under the name Acidobacteriota bacterium. RNAcentral's name for it is "Acidobacteria bacterium partial 16S ribosomal RNA". It matches the Rfam family "Bacterial small subunit ribosomal RNA", at positions 355 to 773 of the family's 1533-position model. Lineage: Bacteria; Pseudomonadati; Acidobacteriota. The record is from RNAcentral.